RNAcentral lists this ribosomal RNA (536 nucleotides) under uncultured bacterium. Its description in RNAcentral is "partial 16S ribosomal RNA". It matches the Rfam family "Bacterial small subunit ribosomal RNA", at positions 355 to 881 of the family's 1533-position model. The record is from RNAcentral.
UAGGGAAUCUUCCACAAUGGACGCAAGUCUGAUGGAGCAACGCCGCGUGAGUGAAGAAGGUUUUCGGACCGUAAAGCUCUGUUGUUGGUGAAGAAGGAUAGAGGUAGUAACUGGCCUUUAUUUGACGGUAAUCAACCAGAAAGUCACGGCUAACUACGUGCCAGCAGCCGCGGUAAUACGUAGGUGGCAAGCGUUGUCCGGAUUUAUUGGGCGUAAAGCGAGCGCAGGCGGAAGAAUAAGUCUGAUGUGAAAGCCCUCGGCUUAACCGAGGAAUUGCAUCGGAAACUGUUUUCUUGAGUGCAGAAGAGGAGAGUAGAACUCCAUGUGUAGCGGUGGAAUGCGUAGAUAUAUGGAAGAAUACCAGUGGCGAAGGCGGCUCUCUGGUCUGCAACUGACGCUGAGGCUCGAAAGCAUGGGUAGCGAACAGGAUUAGAUACCCUGGUAGUCCAUGCCGUAAAACGAUGAGUGCUAAGUGUUGGGAGGCUUCCGCCUCUCAGUGCUGCAGCUAACGCAUUAAGCACUCCGCCUGGGGGAGU